RNAcentral lists this ribosomal RNA (536 nucleotides) under Escherichia coli. RNAcentral's name for it is "partial 23S ribosomal RNA". It matches the Rfam family "Bacterial large subunit ribosomal RNA", at positions 397 to 934 of the family's 2925-position model. Lineage: Bacteria; Pseudomonadati; Pseudomonadota; Gammaproteobacteria; Enterobacterales; Enterobacteriaceae. The record is from RNAcentral.
CUGUGAGCUCGAUGAGUAGGGCGGGACACGUGGUAUCCUGUCUGAAUAUGGGGGGACCAUCCUCCAAGGCUAAAUACUCCUGACUGACCGAUAGUGAACCAGUACCGUGAGGGAAAGGCGAAAAGAACCCCGGCGAGGGGAGUGAAAAAGAACCUGAAACCGUGUACGUACAAGCAGUGGGAGCACGCUUAGGCGUGUGACUGCGUACCUUUUGUAUAAUGGGUCAGCGACUUAUAUUCUGUAGCAAGGUUAACCGAAUAGGGGAGCCGAAGGGAAACCGAGUCUUAACUGGGCGUUAAGUUGCAGGGUAUAGACCCGAAACCCGGUGAUCUAGCCAUGGGCAGGUUGAAGGUUGGGUAACACUAACUGGAGGACCGAACCGACUAAUGUUGAAAAAUUAGCGGAUGACUUGUGGCUGGGGGUGAAAGGCCAAUCAAACCGGGAGAUAGCUGGUUCUCCCCGAAAGCUAUUUAGGUAGCGCCUCGUGAAUUCAUCUCCGGGGGUAGAGCACUGUUUCGGCAAGGGGGUCAUCCCGA